CAGACUCGUACGGAAGCAGCAGUACGGAGUUUUCACAUGAACGGAAGGUCUGAUGAGCAUGCGCGUGAGUGAUGACCGUCCUCGGAUGUAAAGCUCUGUUGUAGGAAGAAAUACUAGAAGAGGAAAUGCUUUUAGUUUGACGGUACUUACCAGAAAGCACGGCUAACUAUGUGCCAGCAGCCGCGGUAAUACAUAGGUGGCAAGCGUUAUCCGGAUUUAUUGGGCGUAUAGGGUGCGUAGGCGGUUAGUUAAGUUUGAGGUCAAAGCCCGGGGCUCAACCCCGGUUCGCCUUGAAAACUGGCUGACUAGAAUACAGGAGAGGUAGAUGGAAUUCCAUGUGUAGCGGUGAAAUGCGUAGAUAUAUGGAGGAACACCAGUGGCGUAGGCGGUCUACUGGCCUGUUAUUGACGCUGAGGCACGAAAGCGUGGGGAGCAAAUAGGAUUAGAUACCCUAGUAGUCCACGCCGUAAACGUUGAGUACUAAGUGUCGGCAUUAUGUCGGUGCUGCAGCUAACGCAUUAAGUACUCCGCCUGAGUAGUAUGCCCGCAAGAGUGAAACUCAAAGGAAUUGACGGGGACCCGCACAAGUGGUGGAGCAUGUGGUUUAAUUCGAAGCAACGCGAAGAACCUUACCAGGGCUUGACAUCCAGUGCAAAGCUACAGAGAUGUAGUGGAGGUUAACAUUGAGACAGGUGGUGCAUGGUUGUCGUCAGCUCGUGCCGUGAGGUGUUGGGUUAAGUCCCGCAACGAGCGCAACCCUUAUCAUUAGUUACUAACAUUCAGUUGAGCACUCUAAUGAGACUGCUAGUGUAAGCUAGAGGAAGGUGGGGAUGACGUCAAAUCAUCAUGCCCCUUAUGUCCUGGGCUACACACGUGCUACAAUGGCUGGUACAAAGAGUUGCAAUCCCGCGAGGGGGAGCUAAUCUCAAAAAGCCAGUCUCAGUUCGGAUUGAAGUCUGCAACUCGACAUCAUGAAGCCGGAAUCACUAGUAAUCGCGAAUCAGCAAUGUCGCGGUGAAUACGUUCUCGGGUCUUGUACACACCGCCCGUCACACCAUGAGAGUUGGUAAUACCAGAAGUAUGUAUCUUAACCGCAAGGAGGGAGCGUACCAAGGUAGGACUAGCGAUUAGGGUGAAGUCGUAACAAGGUAACCGUA
Molecule: ribosomal RNA, 1157 nt
Filed under: uncultured Spiroplasma sp.
Lineage: Bacteria; Bacillati; Mycoplasmatota; Mollicutes; Entomoplasmatales; Spiroplasmataceae
Description: bacterial SSU rRNA
Rfam family: Bacterial small subunit ribosomal RNA
Source: RNAcentral